AACCUGUCACUGUGACAGAAAGGUCAACAGCAUCUGUGUUCAAGAAGUUACUCCUGCACAAUAAACCAUACAGUACAGACUUAUUGCAGCACUCCUGAAGGAGGAAGCUGACCCUAUGGAUGACAGAUUCUCAAGCCCUAGGGUCACAUUCUCAAAGGUUUGACACCAGAAGAGCAUCAGCUGAACGCUAUGAGUAGACUUCACAGCUACGAUAGAGAGGCAGGGUAAAAGUGGUUUGUGGGUGCUGCAAGAGAAUGGAAAUGAGCUGAAGGUAUGAAAACAUUUUUCACUGACCAUUCCUAAAAGAUGAGUGUGGGCUGAGCUCCCAAGCCAUUGAGGUGUCGGGCUCAGACCUGGGCCUUCUGCAGGGAGGUCUGAACAAACA
RNAcentral lists this long non-coding RNA (385 nucleotides) under Anas platyrhynchos platyrhynchos (common mallard). Its description in RNAcentral is "lncRNA (ENSAPLG00000021864.1)". Lineage: Eukaryota; Metazoa; Chordata; Aves; Anseriformes; Anatidae. The record is from RNAcentral.